UUGGAGGUUUCUAACUCUAAAACUACCUUUUAAACCGUGGGCUUUAAUUGCAGCCCAAGUAAAGCCCACAGGAGUCUAUAAAUAGACCCCUUAAGUUGCAAACCCUAGCCCCCAUUAAUCUCCAAACCCUAAAAACGAAUUUCUUCACUCAAAGAACUUGAUUUCUUCUUCCUAACAAGUCCGGAUGCGAUUCAUUCCGCUAAGAAUAUGAUUUUACAUCCUACUCGCAAGAUCUACGCGAUUUCUACGUUGUGUUCUUCGUUGGAGGCUUGUGGAUUAAAUUAAAUUCGGUCCAGCCCCUUGAACCUUGGGUUAAUACAUUAUUUAUCUUAUUGUUCAUCAUCCUUAGACACGUCGACUGCUCGUGCUUCGGAGUCGAAACAGGUUUAGUUGCUUGCCAGGUUUUUCACGUGGAUUUGCAAGCAGUUUAUGAUUUGAAAGCUGGUCCACUCCGAUUCUUUUGAUUCCUCGGAGGUUUUUAUGUUAUUUAAACUAGUUUCUGUUUUCAAACUCUUAGACCGCAGUAGAACUAGUAAUUUAUUUCAUUUGAUUCUACACUUUGGGAUUGUCGAUAUAUUCGAUUAUUAUAUUUGGCAUGAUUACUCUGGAUUACGAUAUUGUUAUAUAUAAGGCAUGAUGUUGAACAUUUAA
This is a long non-coding RNA of Mercurialis annua (annual mercury), 651 nucleotides long. RefSeq lists it as uncharacterized. NCBI's taxonomy places the organism in Eukaryota, Viridiplantae, Streptophyta, Magnoliopsida, Malpighiales, Euphorbiaceae. The transcript is spliced from 3 exons. The record is from RefSeq and is a predicted model, not a curated record.